AGUCGAACGAGAAUCUACUGAAGGAGGAUUCGUCCAACGGAAGUAGAGGAAAGUGGCGGACGGGUGAGUAACGCGUGAGGAACCUGCCUUGAAGAGGGGGACAACAGUUGGAAACGACUGCUAAUACCGCAUGAAGCAUAGGGGUCGCAUGAUCUUUAUGCCAAAGAUUUAUCGCUUCAAGAUGGCCUCGCGUCUGAUUAGCUGGUUGGCGGGGUAACGGCCCACCAAGGCGACGAUCAGUAGCCGGACUGAGAGGUUGAACGGCCACAUUGGGACUGAGAUACGGCCCAGACUCCUACGGGAGGCAGCAGUGGGGAAUAUUGGGCAAUGGGCGCAAGCCUGACCCAGCAACGCCGCGUGAAGGAAGAAGGCUUUCGGGUUGUAAACUUCUUUUAAGAGGGAAGAGCAGAAGACGGUACCUCUAGAAUAAGCCACGGCUAACUACGUGCCAGCAGCCGCGGUAAUACGUAGGUGGCAAGCGUUGUCCGGAUUUACUGGGUGUAAAGGGCGUGCAGCCGGGUCUGCAAGUCAGAUGUGAAAUCCAUGGGCUCAACCCAUGAACUGCAUUUGAAACUGUAGAUCUUGAGUGUCGGAGGGGCAAUCGGAAUUCCUAGUGUAGCGGUGAAAUGCGUAGAUAUUAGGAGGAACACCAGUGGCGAAGGCGGAUUGCUGGACGAUAACUGACGGUGAGGCGCGAAAGUGUGGGGAGCAA
This 712-nucleotide ribosomal RNA is filed under the name uncultured bacterium. Its description in RNAcentral is "bacterial SSU rRNA". It matches the Rfam family "Bacterial small subunit ribosomal RNA", at positions 60 to 771 of the family's 1533-position model. The record is from RNAcentral.